UUAAACGGCCGCAUACGAAAUUGA
This 24-nucleotide non-coding RNA is filed under the name Arabidopsis thaliana (thale cress). The record is from RNAcentral. Lineage: Eukaryota; Viridiplantae; Streptophyta; Magnoliopsida; Brassicales; Brassicaceae.